This 117-nucleotide non-coding RNA is filed under the name Pan troglodytes (chimpanzee). Lineage: Eukaryota; Metazoa; Chordata; Mammalia; Primates; Hominidae. The record is from Rfam by way of RNAcentral.
GCCGGGCGCGGUGGCUCACGCCUGUAAUUCCAACACCUUGGGAGGCAGAGACAGGAGGAUCUCCUGAGCCCAGGAGUUCAAGACCAGCCUGGGCAACAUGGGGAGACUCCGUCUCUA